AGAGUUUGAUCAUGGCUCAGAAUGAACGCUGGCGGCACGCUUAACACAUGCAAGUCGAACGGGAUCUUCGGAUCUAGUGGCAGACGGGUGAGUAACGCGUGGGAACCUGCCCUUUAGUAGAGAACAACUUGAGGAAACUUGAGCUAAUACUUUAUACGCCCUUCGGGGGAAAGCUUUAUGCGCUAUUGGAUGGGCCCGCGUUAGAUUAGUUUGUUGGUGAGGUAACGGCUCACCAAGACUUCGAUCUAUAGCUGGUCUGAGAGGAUGAUCAGCCACACUGGGACUGAGACACGGCCCAGACUCCUACGGGAGGCAGCAGUGGGGAAUAUUGGACAAUGGGGGCAACCCUGAUCCAGCGAUGCCGCGUGAGUGAUGAAGGCCUUAGGGUUGUAAAGCUCUUUCGUCAGGGAAGAUAAUGACGGUACCUGAAGAAGAAGAUCCGGCUAACUCCGUGCCAGCAGCCGCGGUAAUACGGAGGGAUCUAGCGUUAUUCGGAAUUACUGGGCGUAAAGCGAGCGUAGGCGGAUUUGUAAGUUGGAGGUGAAAUCCCAGAGCUUAACUCUGGAACUGCCUUCAAAACUACAUUUCUUGAGUUUGGUAGAGGAGAGUGGAAUUCCUAGUGUAGAGGUGAAAUUCGUAGAUAUUAGGAGGAACACCAGUGGCGAAGGCGACUCUCUGGGCCAAUACUGACGCUGAGGUUCGAAAGCAUGGGUAGCGAACAGGAUUAGAUACCCUGGUAGUCCAUGCAGUAAACGAUGAGUGCUAGAUGUUGGAAACAUUAGUUUUCAGUAUCGCAGUUAACGCGUUAAGCACUCCGCCUGGGAAGUACGGCCGCAAGGCUAAAACUCAAAUGAAUUGACGGGGACCCGCACAAGCGGUGGAUCAUGUGGUUUAAUUCGAAGAUACGCGAAGAACCUUACCGGCCCUUGACAUACCAAUCGCGGACUUAAGAGAUUAAGUUCUUCACUUCGGGUGGAUUGGAUACAGGUGCUGCAUGGCUGUCGUCAGCUCGUGUCGUGAGAUGUU
RNAcentral lists this ribosomal RNA (1026 nucleotides) under marine metagenome. RNAcentral describes it as "bacterial SSU rRNA". It matches the Rfam family "Bacterial small subunit ribosomal RNA", at positions 8 to 1076 of the family's 1533-position model. The record is from RNAcentral.